UCAGCCGCCGACUAAUAGAAAAAGAGACUGCAUACAACGUUUCAUUUAUGUUUUGUCAGGCUAGAUACAUUUGUUGUAGCGGUCUCAUAUUUGUAAGUCCAUGAAAAAACCUGAAAGUAUUUUUUUCUUGAAAACUUUUUUGAAAAAAAAAGUAAAAUGUCAUUAGGAGUGAGAAUCAGGAAUGAUGGAUUCAGGGUCUAGUUGCAAGAUUCAUCACAGGCCAUUAACCUCUGAAAAGCCUUUAUCUGCUUCGCUUUGUUACGUAUCAGACGCGGAUAUUACUUACGAGUAUUGAAUGAUCCCCUCAGUAAACACCAGCUAUGCAGGAGGUGCUACCUUAGCAAUACGAGCUUCAGUCUGGG
Molecule: long non-coding RNA, 362 nt
Organism: Gorilla gorilla gorilla (western lowland gorilla)
Lineage: Eukaryota; Metazoa; Chordata; Mammalia; Primates; Hominidae
Exons: 3
Source: RefSeq, a predicted model, not a curated record